UCGCCACGGUAAUACCGGCCCCGCGAGUGGUCGGGGUGAUUAUUGGGCCUAAAAGCGCCCGUAGCCGGCCCGGUAAGUCUCCCCUAAAAUCCCCGGGCUCAACCCGGGGAUUGGGGGAGAUACUGCCGGGGCUAGGGGGCGGGAGAGGCCGAGGGGUACUCCCCGGGGGUAGGGGCGAAAAUCCGUUAAAUCCCCGGGAGGACCACCCGUGGCGAAGGC
Molecule: ribosomal RNA, 219 nt
Filed under: uncultured archaeon
Lineage: Archaea
Description: partial 16S ribosomal RNA
Rfam family: Archaeal small subunit ribosomal RNA
Source: RNAcentral